UGCAGGAUUAGAUAACCAACAGAGCAGCAAACAUGGCGGCGUCGCAGAAGUUGUUGAGCACCCUGUCUUCAGUUCUCUGGCCGACGGCUCUUACUUAGCGGUGGUUGCUCCUGGUCCUCGUCUCGUCGCUGUAAAGCCUGGACAUCAAACGUACUCCCUCCGUCCCAUAAUGUAGUGUCAUACAUUAUGGGACGGAGGGAGUACAUGGCAGCGUUAUUAUUAUUUGCCACAGUUCAGUAGCAUUGAUGCCGACAUGGACGAGAUCAUCACGAGCGGCUCGGUCGCCGCUGCUUCGUGCCCCGGGUUCUGCAGGCAAGCCGAAAUGCUGGACAUCACCGUCAACAUGGAGGACAAGCAUGACGACGCCAAGGAGGAGAUGGAGGAGGAAGAACCGGCGAAGCCAGCGCCCAAAGGGAGAAAGAAGACGCGGGCGGCCACCGCCAGACCGGGCGAGCCUCGCGUCAAGUGGAGGGCCAAGGAAGACGAAUGCCUCACCGAAGCAUGGAAGACCAUCAGUAUCACCCGAUCACCGGCACGAAUCAGAACUUCGACACAUACUGGAGAAGGAUCAAGGCGGCGUUCGACAAGCGCAAGUUGGUCGACCCCGACUUCGCCAACAUCCGCAUGGAUCGCGGCGAGAAGGCCAUGGCGAACCAUUGGGCGACCAUCCAGCAGGCCUGCAACAAGUGACAUGGGAUUCAAGAGGAGGUCAUCGCUCGCCCGAAAAGUGGCGCCAACGUCGAGGGUCAGGUAUGGCCAUCGUUUGCCGGCCCAGUUCUUCCCCGACACUUGUUCUUCAACUGUGCAAAUGGUCCAGAUGUUCGACAUGUUUUGCCAGGACAACAACAACCAAAAGUUCAAGUUCCUUCAUGUGUCCACCAGGAUCGAGUCGUGCGAGAAAUGGACAAAGUGCCGGCUCGCUCUCGCCAAGGCCAAGGAUGGUGUCUACAACCCGGACGCGCCUACCUCAGCGGCGGAAAAGGGUGCCCUGAUGGCAACAAAAGAGCCAAGGUGGCGAGGGACACGGCAUCCGCUGCCGAAUGACUACAAUCGUCGAUCGAACAGUGCAUCGCCGACUCCAAAAGCAACGCCGCCAAGAGGGAGGAGAAAUUUGAGGCGAGGUGGUCGGCGUUGAUGACGAAGCAGGACGUCAAGCUCGACCUUCUCAGGACCAACGUCGCCGCGAAGAAGAGGAACACCGACCUGGCGUUCCUGAUGGGGACAGACAUGUCGACGAUGGACGAGCAAGUGAAGGCGUUGUACCUGGCGAAGCGCGGCCUCAUCUUGAACCAGAUGUCGGGACCGGCGGCGACCACUGCCUCUACACUCACGCCCACGACUACGCCUACGCCCAUGCCCACGACUACGCCAACGCAGACGCCGAGCACUGAAGUUGUGCCCACAACACUGACGCCGAUGCCAAUGCCAACCUCGGCCAGCCCUACGGCAGAGGAGCCUGCCGUUUGAGUUCCAUGUCUAUGGUUCCUAUCCUUUUGAUCGCCGGACUUUGGCUAUGUUCGAUCACCGACCCGUGGCAUGAUGAUCGUCGAACUUGUGUCGUUUUUUAAUAAUGGGAAAGUGAACUUUGAAUUUUGUUGCGUUUGAGGGCCGAAACCUGGGGGCACGACAAGAAACUCGACCCCCCAGACUGAAAAAACCGCCGGCGCAAACGGCCUAACCUUGCGCUCGGGCCAAACGGCUGGAGAUUCUCUAGAGAUUCAGUGGCUAUUGUGAUCUACUAAGCGUAUGAUGAGAGGUUCAGUGGAUAUUGUGGUCUACUAAGCCUGGUAUGAUGAGAGCGUUUACACAUGUCUAUUUUCUUUACAAUUGGUCCAGUGCAACUUUUAAUCUCCAACAGACAGCGCCACAACCGGUCUUCAAAGCCUAAUAUAAUGUGCGCAUUUGCAUGUGCCUAUUUUCUUUAUCAUUGGUCACUAAUCUAGUGCAAUUUUUAAUAUGACGAGUGAGUUUGUAUAUGUAUUUUCUUUAGAAUUGUCGAGUGUAAUCUUUAAUCUCCAACGGAUAGCGGAAGAAGAACGAGGCUAGUAUGAUUUUAAAUGAAACUUUAGCUUUUGUUGACCGUUCUGGUCUGUUUUUCGUUCAUUGUACUGCCUAUUAUUUUCCUUGAUAAAUAUCUUAUGGUGUUAUUGUCUAAGAAAAAUAUACCAGAAAAAGGAAAAACUUGCUCUGAGGCUGUUAUUGUCUUACCAUAGUAGGUGGUUAAACAUUAAGAAGAACAUCACCACACCACACACACAAGAGAAUUUACACAUGGAGCGUACACAAAGCACACACAUACACCCAUCACUCGCUAGCAUGCAGCGAGUAGACCGAGGCAAGAAAAGAAAGUUACAAGCACUAGUAGAUAAGUAGUACGAAGCUCAAGACAAACUACAUGCAGCCUCAGACAGCAACGUACGCUAUGCAGGAUUAGAUAACCAAAAGAGCAGCAAACAUGGCGGCGUCGCAGAACUUCCUGUCUUCAAUUCUCUGGCCGUCGGCUCUUAUUUAGCGGUGGUUGCUCCUGGUCCUGGUCUCGUCGCUGUAAAGCCUGAACAUCAAACGUACGUGGCAGCGUUAUUAUUUCCUGGUGUUAAAUAUUGCCAUGUUCGCCCGUUUCAAGUUCGCUAUACUGAUUUUAUAUGAUGAUGAUGAUAGAUCACGAGCUAGCGUACCAGUCGUAGACGGUGGGGGAGUUGGGCUGCGGGCGGUCGAAGAGGUUGGCGCCGAGGCUUUUGGUGGCCAGGUUGCUCCCGGGGUGGAAAACGCUCCGCCACACGCUGCCGCCACGCGGCGGCGUCGACGACGACGGCGUCACCGGCGUGGUCGGGGUCGUCGGCAUCGACGGCGACUGCUUAAUCGCCUCCCCUGCAGCUGCACCUCCACCAACAUCCAUGUAAACCGCCAUCAGUUCACACAAUAAACCCAAUAGAUCCUCUGGUUAAGCAUCAAAUCUCCUUCUGAAAACCACUGGUGCUAGUUCUUACGUUCUUCUCAACAUUUUCAGGCCAUGUCGGUACCUCUGUGCUAACGUAUACGAACUGUACCUG
This 3050-nucleotide long non-coding RNA is filed under the name Triticum aestivum (bread wheat). RNAcentral's name for it is "long non-coding RNA (TAES_LNC004099)". The record is from RNAcentral. Lineage: Eukaryota; Viridiplantae; Streptophyta; Magnoliopsida; Poales; Poaceae.